UUGGAGUUCAUGCAAGUUCUAAC
This 23-nucleotide non-coding RNA is filed under the name Cricetulus griseus (Chinese hamster). Lineage: Eukaryota; Metazoa; Chordata; Mammalia; Rodentia; Cricetidae. RNAcentral also lists the same sequence under 2 other names. The record is from RNAcentral.